Long non-coding RNA from Camelus dromedarius (Arabian camel), 390 nucleotides. RefSeq lists it as uncharacterized. The record is from RefSeq and is a predicted model, not a curated record. The transcript is spliced from 3 exons. Lineage: Eukaryota; Metazoa; Chordata; Mammalia; Artiodactyla; Camelidae.
GCUGUGGGCUGGGAGGCGAGUUUUGGAUGACAAGCUUGUAUUUGCAAAAGUACACACCCUGUGGGAGGUGCUCUGCACAUACGUUGAGAUACUGCACAUAAAAUUGCCUCUGAAGCCCAAUGAUCUGAAAACCCGGUCCUCAGCCUUUGAUAAUUUCAGCUGUUAUCUGAAAGUCCCCCAAGUGGAUGAAAGUAUCAUCAAGCUGGAGCAAGAGUUUUUCAUUUCCCUAUUUGAGAAGAGCUGCGUGAAUGACUUUUAUAUUCAGGAUAGAGAUACAUUCUUCAAUCCAGCCACCAGAAGCUGCAUUUGCAACUUCAGCCUCCAUCAGAGGACCUCAGCUGCCCCAGCAAACCAGGCCUUCUCUACAGGGAAUGGGCUCCUCCUCAAAGC